UUCCAUGGAGUUAGCAUACUGUUUUAAUGAAUAUGUUUCUUUAAUACAAUUAGCGGUUCCCGUAGUGGACAUGGCUGAGUUCGGUGAUCAGCAGGUGACUAUACUUGCUGAUGAUCUGGAGGAGCUGAAGACUGUGGAGCGAUCACAAUUCCGGAACGUGGUGGAAAAAGUAAUUGAAGAAGAUGUUCCAUGAUUGUACAAUUAUCCGACAGAAACAACAUCAGAAGUACCGAAUGAGUAUGAGCGGCAUCUGCUCUUCUUUAAAGGAAAGAAACUUGAGAGGAGCAGAGCAAUGUCCCACCUCAACGCCGUUACUGUAUGAUAUAACCAAAAGAAAUUUGGUACUUCCGGAUGCUGUACUACAGAGU
Haliotis rubra (blacklip abalone) is the source of this 368-nucleotide long non-coding RNA. RefSeq lists it as uncharacterized. The record is from RefSeq and is a predicted model, not a curated record. The transcript has 3 exons. Lineage: Eukaryota; Metazoa; Mollusca; Gastropoda; Lepetellida; Haliotidae.